Homo sapiens (human) is the source of this 279-nucleotide long non-coding RNA. Lineage: Eukaryota; Metazoa; Chordata; Mammalia; Primates; Hominidae. The record is from Ensembl.
ACCCCUUAAAUCGCACAGUCGGGCCCAGGGUUCAGCUGCCACCGACGCCAGGUCCUGGGACCAUAAGCUCGCGUGUCUCCACAGUUGCACAUUCCCGUCCGUCUGCAGCUCAUUAUCUGGGCCACAAGGACGUUACCCCAUGACUUGGAAGGACGCGCCAUCACGCAGGAGGUCACAAAGUGGACGGCAGGAAAGCCAGCCUUCCCUCUUCUGCCUUCCUCCUCACCUCUCUCUCUCUCUCUCAGUACUUUGUUCUUGUUAAUAUCAGUGUAUCAAUGA